CAACGCCGGGCAGCUCACCAGAUAAGACAGCUGAAUGAUAGUCGGGCUGAAGACUCUACUUGACUAGCUGAGAGGAGGUGCAUGGCCGUCGUCAGUUCGUACUGUGAAGCAUCCUGUUAAGUCAGGCAACGAGCGAGACCCACGCCCACAGUUGCCAGCGUACUCUCUGGAGUGACGGGUACACUGUGGGGACCGCCGCUGCUAAAGCGGAGGAAGGAAUGGGCAACGGUAGGUCAGUAUGCCCCGAAUAUCCCGGGCUACACGCGAGCUACAAUGGUUGGUACAAUGGGUAUCUACCCCGAAAGGGGACGGGAAUCUCCUAAAACCAAUCUUAGUUCGGAUUGAGGGCUGCAACUCGCCCUCAUGAAGCUGGAAUCCGUAGUAAUCGCGUUUCAACAGAACGCGGUGAAUACGUCCCUGCUCCUU
This 426-nucleotide ribosomal RNA is filed under the name uncultured Methanolinea sp. RNAcentral's name for it is "bacterial SSU rRNA". It matches the Rfam family "Archaeal small subunit ribosomal RNA", at positions 913 to 1338 of the family's 1478-position model. The record is from RNAcentral. Lineage: Archaea; Methanobacteriati; Methanobacteriota; Methanomicrobia; Methanomicrobiales; Methanoregulaceae.